AAUAGGCACCACUUGUUUGUCUACUGAGGGCCCUGCUCUUACUCAACUACCCAGGGCACUCUGCCCUAGCCAGCCAGGCAAAGGAAUAGAAUCCAGGACUGGCUAGAACCAGGGCAGACUUGAUCUGCUCCACCAUGGCCACUGCGGCAGCCUGAGAAGAGCCAGCAUUUACAGGGCUACAGACCCUCCUGUCUCUCCGUGUGAGAAAUACCCUGCAUUGAGCGGGAGGAGCCAGGGGGGUGAUGCCUCAGGAGGCCAGAAGAGGGCGUCAGAUACCCGGAACCGGAGUUACAAGCUGCUCAGUGCAGGAGCUGAGACCUGAACCCAGGUCCUCCACAGAGCAGCAAAUGCUCUGAUCUGCUGAGCUAUCUCUCCAGCUCCCAAGUGUUCUUCAUCUCUGCACUGAAGACUUGCGUGCUUGAAACACACUGAGUAGCUUCUGUCUUUCUGUGAGAACCUGGACAAACAGGAAGGUCUAAUACGAGGCAUAGUCAUUGCUUGCCGGCACCUCCUGGCUUCAGGGUGGACAUGUUUGGGAUGAUUGGAGGUGCUCUUUGCUAAGUGUUUGCUAUGCGUACAAGGGGCAUCCCAGACUUGGACUUCUGAGUAAUGCUAAAACUGGUGAGAAUUUGGGGACUAUAAGAAAUAUGCUGCUGGAGAGAAACAAUUAAUAAACGGGACCUCCCCAAACUGAAAAGCUCUGUAAAGCAAAGGACACCAUCAACAAGAUAAAAUGACAGUCUACAGAAUGGGAAAAGAUCUUCACUAACCUCACAUCAGACAGAGGUCUGAUCUCCAAAAUACACAAAAAACUCAAGAAAUUGGUCAUCAAAAGAACAAAUAAUCGAAUAAAAAAAAUGGAGUACAGACCCAAACAGAGAACUCUCAACAGAGGAAUCUAAAAUGACUGAAAGGUGAUGUGGGAUUCCCCUCUGUGUGCUGUGAAUGUCAUUGGUUAGUAAAGGAACUGCUUUGGGCCUAUCUAUAGCAGAGCUAUGGGGGAACAGAGCUAGGCAUGGAAAACUAAACUGAAUGCUGGGAGAAAGGAGGCAGGGUCAGAAAAAAACCAUGGAUCCACCACCUGAGACAGACAUGCUGAAACUUUAGCUUGUAAACCACAGCCUUGUGUCCAUACACAGAUGAAUAGAAAUGGGUUAAACUAAUACAUAAGAGUUAGUCAAUAAGAAGCUAGAGCUAAAGGGCCAAACAGUGAUUUAAUUAAUACAGUUUCUGUGUGAUUAUUUCAAGACUAACCGGCUAGGAAUGAAACAAGCAACCUCCUUGCAACAUAAAGAAACAUAAGGAAGCCGGGCGGUGGUGGCACACGCCUUUAAUCCCAGCACUUGGGAGGCUGAGGCAGGCGGAUCUCUGUGAGUUCAAGACCAGCCUGGUCUACAGAGCUAGUUCCAGGACAGGCUCCAAAGCCACAGAGAAACCCUGUCUCAAAAAAACAAAAAACAAAAAAAAAAAAAUAAGGAAAUGCUCAACAUCCUUAGUCAUUACAGAAAUGCAAAUCAAAACAAUUCUGAGAUUCCAUCUUACACCUGUAAGAAUGGCCAAGACCAAAAACACUGAUGACAACUUAUGCUGGAGAGGUUGUGGGGUAAAGGGAACACUUCUGCAUUGAUGGUGGGAGUGCAAGCUGGUACAGCCCCUUUGGAUGUCAUUGUGCUGAUUUCUGAGAAAAUUAGGAAACAACCUUUCUCAAGACCCAGCAAUACCACUUUUGGGUAUAUAUCCAAAGGAUGCUCAAUUGUACCACAAGGACAUGUGCUCAACUUUGUUCAUAGCAGCAUUGUUUGUCAUAACCAGAACCUGGAAACAACCUAAGUGCCCCUCGACUGAAGAAUGGAUAAGGAAAAUAUGGUACAUUUACACAAUAGAGUACUACACAGCAGAAAAAAAUAACGACAUUUUGAUGAGGCUAGAAAACAUCAUUGUGAGAAACCUAGACAUAGAAAUACAAUUAUUAUAUGUACUCACUCAUAAGUGGUUUUUAAACAUAAAGCAAAGAAACCAAGCCCACAAAUCACAAUCCCAGAGAACCUAGAUAACAAUGAGGACCCUAAGAGAGACAUACAUGGUUCUAAUGUACUUGGGAAGUAGGAAAAGACAAGAUCUUCUGAGUAAAUUGGGAGCAUGGGGAUCUUGGGAGAGGGUUGAAGGGGAGGGGAGAGGCAGGGAGGGAGCAGAGAAAAACGUAGAGCUCAAUAAAAAUCAAUUAUGUAUAUAUAAUAACCCCCCCCCCCCAAAAGGCGCACUGACUACUCUUCCAAAGGACCUGGUUCUCGUCCCAGCACCCGUAGUUCAGCUCAUGACUGUCUGUAACUCCAGUUCCAGGGAAUUGGACACCCAUAGCAAAAUACCAAUGCACAUAAAAUAAAAUUUAAUAAAGAAAGAGAAG
Long non-coding RNA from Alexandromys fortis (reed vole), 2404 nucleotides. RefSeq lists it as uncharacterized. The record is from RefSeq and is a predicted model, not a curated record. Lineage: Eukaryota; Metazoa; Chordata; Mammalia; Rodentia; Cricetidae. The transcript is spliced from 3 exons.